GACGAACGCUGGCGGCGUGCUUAACACAUGCAAGUCGAACGGAAAGGCCCUGCUUUUGUGGGGUGCUCGAGUGGCGAACGGGUGAGUAACACGUGAGUAACCUGCCCUUGACUUUGGGAUAACUUCAGGAAACUGGGGCUAAUACCGGAUAGGAGCUCCUGCUGCAUGGUGGGGGUUGGAAAGUUUCGGCGGUUGGGGAUGGACUCGCGGCUUAUCAGCUUGUUGGUGGGGUAGUGGCUUACCAAGGCUUUGACGGGUAGCCGGCCUGAGAGGGUGACCGGCCACAUUGGGGCUGAGAUACGGCCCAGACUCCUACGGGAGGCAGCAGUGGGGAAUAUUGCACAAUGGGCGGAAGCCUGAUGCAGCAACGCCGCGUGCGGGAUGACGGCCUUCGAGUUGUAAACCGCUUUCGCCUGUGACGAAGCGUGAGUGACGGUAAUGGGUAAAGAAGCACCGGCUAACUACGUG
Molecule: ribosomal RNA, 468 nt
Filed under: uncultured bacterium
Lineage: Bacteria
Description: partial 16S ribosomal RNA
Rfam family: Bacterial small subunit ribosomal RNA
Source: RNAcentral